UGUUGUUCUCAAAGAUUAAGCCAUGCAUGUCUAAGUAUAAGCAAUUAUACCGUGAAACUGCGAAUGGCUCAUUAAAUCAGUUAUCGUUUAUUUGAUAAUACCUUACUACUUGGAUAACCGUGGUAAUUCUAGAGCUAAUACAUGCUGAAAAUCCCGACUUCGGAAGGGAUGUGUUUAUUAGAUAAAAAACCAAUGCCCUUCGGGGCUCCUUGGUGAUUCAUAAUAACUUUACGGAUCGCAUAGCCUUGCGCUGGCGACGGUUCAUUCAAAUUUCUGCCCUAUCAACUUUCGAUGGUAAGGUAUUGGCUUACCAUGGUUUCAACGGGUAACGGGGAAUUAGGGUUCGAUUCCGGAGAGGGAGCCUGAGAAACGGCUACCACAUCCAAGGAAGGCAGCAGGCGCGCAAAUUACCCAAUCCCGAUUCGGGGAGGUAGUGACAAUAAAUACUGAUACAGGGCUCUUUUGGGUCUUGUAAUUGGAAUGAGUACAAUUUAAACCUCUUAACGAGGAACAAUUGGAGGGCAAGUCUGGUGCCAGCAGCCGCGGUAAUUCCAGCUCCAAUAGCGUAUAUUAAAGUUGUUGCAGUUAAAAAGCUCGUAGUUGAAACUUGGGUCUGGCUGGCGGGUCCGCCUCACCGCGUGCACUCGUCCGGCCGGGCCUUCCUUCUGAAGAACCUCAUGCCCUUUACUGGGCGUGUUGGGGAAUCAGGACUUUUACUUUGAAAAAAUUAGAGUGUUCAAAGCAGGCCUUUGCUCGAAUACGUUAGCAUGGAAUAAUAAAAUAGGGCGUGCGUUUCUAUUUUGUUGGUUUCUAGAGACGCCGCAAUGAUUAACAGGAACAGUCGGGGGCAUCAGUAUUCAGUUGUCAGAGGUGAAAUUCUUGGAUUUACUGAAGACUAACUACUGCGAAAGCAUUUGCCAAGGAUGUUUUCAUUAAUCAGUGAACGAAAGUUAGGGGAUCGAAGACGAUCAGAUACCGUCGUAGUCUUAACCGUAAACUAUGCCGACUAGGGAUCGGGCGAUGUUCUUUUUCUGACUCGCUCGGCACCUUACGAGAAAUCAAAGUUUUUGGGUUCUGGGGGGAUUAUGGUCGCAAGGCUGAACUUAAAAGAAAUUGACGGAAGGUCACCACCAGGCGUGGAGCCUGCGGCUUAAUUUGACUCAACACGGGGAAACUCACCAGGUUCAGAUGAAAUAAGGAUUGACAGAUUGAGAGCUCUUUCUUGAUUUUUCAGGUGGUGGUGCAUGGCCGUUCUUAGUUCGUGGGGUGACUUGUCUGCUUAAUUGCGAUAACGAGCGAGACCUUACUCUGCUAAAUAGCCAGGCUAGCUUUGGCUGGUCGCCGGCUUCUUAGAGAGACUAUCAACUCAAGUUGAUGGAAGUUUGAGGCAAUAACAGGUCUGUGAUGCCCUUAGAUAUUCUGGGCCGCACGCGCGCUACACUGACAGAGCCAACGAGUUCUUUCCCUUGGCCGAAAGGUCUGGGUAAUCUUGUUAAACUCUGUCGUGCUGGGGAUAAAGCAUUGCAAUUAUUGCUUUUCAACGAGGAAUGCCUAGUAAGCGCGUGUCAUCAGCAUGCGUUGAUUACGUCCCUGACCUUUGUACACACCGCCCGUCGCUACUACCGAUUGAAUGGCUCAGUGAGGCCUUCGGACUGGCUCGGGGAGGUUGGCAACGACCACCCCAAGCCGGAAAGUUGGUCAAACUCGGUCAUUUAGAGGAAGUAAAAGUCGUAACAGAUG
RNAcentral lists this ribosomal RNA (1740 nucleotides) under Pyrenophora trichostoma. RNAcentral describes it as "SSU rRNA". It matches the Rfam family "Eukaryotic small subunit ribosomal RNA". The record is from RNAcentral. Lineage: Eukaryota; Fungi; Ascomycota; Dothideomycetes; Pleosporales; Pleosporaceae.